This 154-nucleotide ribosomal RNA is filed under the name Kalanchoe sp. 'geroldii var. geroldii'. Its description in RNAcentral is "Kalanchoe geroldii var. geroldii 5.8S ribosomal RNA". It matches the Rfam family "5.8S ribosomal RNA". From Rfam's summary of the family: 5.8S ribosomal RNA (5.8S rRNA) is a component of the large subunit of the eukaryotic ribosome. It is transcribed by RNA polymerase I as part of the 45S precursor that also contains 18S and 28S rRNA. Functionally, it is thought that 5.8S rRNA may be involved in ribosome translocation. The record is from RNAcentral. Lineage: Eukaryota; Viridiplantae; Streptophyta; Magnoliopsida; Saxifragales; Crassulaceae.
AACGACUCUCGGCAACGGAUAUCUCGGCUCUCGCAUCGAUGAAGAACGUAGCGAAAUGCGGUACUUGGUGUGAAUUGCAGAAUCCCGUGAACCAUCGAGUCUUUGAACGCAAGUUGCGCCCGAAGCCAUUAGGCUGAGGGCACGUCUGCCUGGG